Molecule: long non-coding RNA, 1359 nt
Filed under: Mustela putorius furo (domestic ferret)
Lineage: Eukaryota; Metazoa; Chordata; Mammalia; Carnivora; Mustelidae
Description: lncRNA (ENSMPUG00000026028.1)
Source: RNAcentral
CUUCCCCUUAGGCUUUCUUCUUGGAAGAAAGAAGCUGGGCACACCCAGUGGAGAGCAGCAGCAUUGGGUUCCCGGGGAAGCUCCACUCCCAGGCAUAUCAACGCUGGUUGGUGGUUUUGAAAGGCUCCUUAAUGAUGUCAUGGGUUGUCCGUCCACUCACAUGAAGCCUGACCGGGAGGGGGGCUUUGCUGUGCUCCCCCUCCGUCUGCAGACACGGCUGUGGGGGGAUUCUCACCCACAGGCGAGAAGCACCCACAGGCAAGAAGUGCAGGGUGGCCUGUGGAUGCCUGAGAAGCACCCACAGGAGGCAUGACGGAACUGUACCACUUGAGAUGCUAUUUCUCCUAAGUGCUCUGGAGUGAGGGAAUUCCAUUUUGCACAGGUGGAAGAAUCUGGAAGUAGAUUCUUGAUAAACUGUGGCUCAGGAAGGCCAUGUUAUCAGCCAGGGUCACGAGUGUGGCGGCGUCCUUCAGCCAGAGCUGAGAGAGACUGGGUCAUGGGACUCAGUGACGGAAGAUUCUGGCAGGACCAUGUCCGCUCUGGACCAGAGAAGCCUCGCCAGCCACGGAAGGACUCCCAUGCACGGACUCCCACUGUAUCCCUCAUAAACAGACAACAUGUGAGUGCCUUUGCAGAAGAGGGUGUGUCUGAGAGCAGCCGGGUCAGCCAGGAGCUGUCGCCAGGAGACGCCCCCUCUCUGUCCCUUGCUGUCUGCUGAUCACCGCUGGAGGUGCUGCGUUCUGAGCUGGUUUGUCCCCCAGUAGUUUUUGUGUUUCACUUGGCAAGGAAAGGGGAGGAAGGAACCCUCUUCUGAGUCAUUUCACGGCUGGUGGUUUUUUCACAGAAAGACGUGUCUUUGUUGCUCUUGUUUAAACGUCGGCGUGCAGGUCCACACGGCACCUGCCCAUGGUUCCCUUGCCUCAUUCCUGAGCAUCUCAGGUAGAAGGUGACACAGCUGCAGGUGAGGAAGGCCUGUGGGAGAACUCGGAAGACCCCUACCCCGUGGCGUGUGGCAGUCUGUUGUCAUCGGUGCACAGCGGACGAUUUUCACAUCUAGCUCCUGGUUCCGUAACCUUGUGUACUUGAAGUCCAACAAGAUGAAGGAAGUCAGUUUCCUUGCAGUGAUUUUAAGUUGUGAUGGAGUUUUAAGUUGAUAUGAGGGAACGUGUCCUAAUUCUUCUGUCCUGGGAAGCAUGUAAUGUUAAUGUUCCAUUCCAUGUGUGUAUAUGUGUAUAUAUAUAUAAAUAUGCAGUAUGUAUAUACAUAUAUAUGAAUACAGGUAUUUUUACUUAAUCUAUAAAAUGUAGUAAAAAGAUGUUGGUUUCUCACUUCUCUUUUUUCUCUUUUUUUUCUUUUCCC